CAGAAAGGUUCUGGAUUACCAAGAGCUUGCCAUCAGCAUGUUCUUUGUACAUUGGGAACAUAGAAGACAAAAGUUAACAUUAGUGAAGAUUACUGCAGAAACUAAGAGAAUUUUGCCAAGUUUAUUGAGUUUGCAGAGUUGUCAACCUGCAAAUGGACGAUAACUCACUUCUAAUGGUGUUCCUUAAAAUCUUUUCCGGUCUGGGGUAAGGUUGGUUUCCUUAACAGAAAUUCUGUGACCGUGAUUCUGCAUAUUCUGCAUGAAGAUUUUCAGUAAAGUACUAGUCACACUGUGAAACUAGACAUUUCAGAAAAUCAUUCUGGUUGUUAACAUUGAAGGAUGGAAAUAAGUAUUUUUCCUGUUUGAGGAAAGUUUAUAAUGCACAAGAAAACAUUAAAAGGAAAUCCAGCUGUUAGAGCCCCCUAAGCAAGUUCAUUCUGCUUAUUAGGAAAAUUGAUGAUUUGAUUUUAACUGCUUCUGAUUUAAUUAUGAAAAGGUGAUGCAGUCUGCAAAUCAGGAACUCUAGAGCCAUGGUCACCAGUCAUGGAGCAGCAGAACAGGUGUUUGUGCAUGUUGCAAUGCUGUUGAGCUGAGCUCACAGCAAGGGGACAGGACAGGGACAGCACCUUUAGGAUAAUGGCUACAUGAGAAGAUGAGAUGUACUUCCCAAAUGAUAUAUUACGAUUAAAAAAGAUAAUUAUAUUUUCCUUCAUAAUGGAUGACAGGUUUUAGUGAUCCAGUUGCAGCUUUAAACAAGGAAAAGAGCUGGUCUUAGAACUGAAAGUAUCUUCAGUAUAAUCUUGUCCUUCCUAAGUAUUCCCCUGUAUGCACAGUUGUCCUAGCUGAUCCCAUUCCCCCUUCCAGCCAUCCCUUAAGUAGUUGGGGCAGUUAAAGCAACUAUGAAAGCAGAAUAAUUUGUAUUGUGAUCCAAACCAUGAGCAUUCACAAUUUAAGAGCUCUGUGUAUCCCCUGGUUAGUGCUUGCAUUUGGCUCAUAGACAAACCUCACACUAUAUAUCUGCACACUGGGAAAUAGCAGAGAAAGUUAAAGGUUGUAGAGAGAGAGAAGAAAAAACAUAUCUGAAAGAGAAGCAAGAAUAGGAGUGAAAAUAUUGAAUAGGGCUAAACUGUGGUAAAGGGUACACAGUAAAUAUUUGAGGCAGA
This 1163-nucleotide long non-coding RNA is filed under the name Cyanistes caeruleus (blue tit). RNAcentral's name for it is "lncRNA (ENSCCEG00000008289.1)". The record is from RNAcentral. Lineage: Eukaryota; Metazoa; Chordata; Aves; Passeriformes; Paridae.